Molecule: unclassified non-coding RNA, 389 nt
Filed under: soil metagenome
Description: partial contains 5.8S ribosomal RNA, internal transcribed spacer 2, and large subunit ribosomal RNA
Rfam family: 5.8S ribosomal RNA (bases 1-122)
Source: RNAcentral
GAUGAAGAACGUAGCGAAAUGCGAUACUUGGUGUGAAUUGCAGAAUCCCGCGAAUCAUCGAGUUUUUGAACGCAAGUUGCGCCCGAAGCCAUUCGGCCGAGGGCACGUCUGCCUGGGUGUCACGCAUCGUUGCCCCCCCAAACUCCGGUUUGGGCGGGGCGGAAGUUGGCCUCCCGUGCGUGCCUGCGCGCGCGGUUAGCCCAAAAGCGAGUCCUCGGCGACGAGCGCCACGACAAUCGGUGGUUUUUUUACCCUCGUUCCUCGUCGUGCGUGUCCCGUCGCCCGAACGCGCUCUUGUGACCCUCACGCGUCGCCUCAGUGGCGCUCCCAACGCGACCCCAGGUCAGGCGGGACUACCCGCUGAGUUUAAGCAUAUCAAUAAGCGGAGA